Molecule: ribosomal RNA, 253 nt
Filed under: uncultured bacterium
Lineage: Bacteria
Description: partial 16S ribosomal RNA
Rfam family: Bacterial small subunit ribosomal RNA
Source: RNAcentral
UACAGAGGGUGCAAGCGUUGUUCGGAAUCAUUGGGCGUAAAGCGCGUGUAGGCGGCUAUCUAAGUCUGGUGUGAAAGCCCGGAGCUUAACUCCGGAAGUGCACUGGAUACUGGAUAGCUAGAGGGCGAGAGGGGGAAGUGGAAUUCCUGGUGUAGGGGUGAAAUCCGUAGAUAUCAGGAGGAACAUCAGCGGCGAAGGCGGCUUCCUGGCUCGUUUCUGACGCUCAGACGCGAAAGCGUGGGGAGCAAACAGG